CCGCGGAAGGGGAGCGAAGACCCGCCCACGCUGCGUGCGUCGUGGUGCUGUGCAUUCUGGACCUUAUACUUUGACAGGUGAGAGGACUGAGAGAGAGAAGAGGAGGCCAACGCUGCAUCUCAUCACCAUUUAUUAUUAUUAUUAUUAUUAUUAUUAUUAUUAUUAUUAUUAUUAUUAUUAUUAUUAUUCCCUUUCUUUCCAUAUAGGGUGUACUAUUAUUGGGUUGUUGUAUGUUUUCCGGGCUGUCGGGCCAUGUUCCAGAAGCAUUCUCUCCUGACGUUUCGCCUACAUCUAUGGCAGGCAUCCUCAGAGGUUGGGAGGUAUGAGGAUGCCUGCCAUAGAUGUGGGCGAAACGUCAGGAGAGAAUACUUAUGGAACAUGGCCAUACAACAACCCUGUGAUCCCGGCCAUGAAAGCCUUCGUCAACACAUUGUGUUAUUAUUAUUAUUAUUAUUGACACAAAGACAUAGUAUGACACAGCAAACGAGAUCUAUAUGCUGUGUCAUACUAUGUCUUUGUGUCAAUAAAUGGUUACUAUCUUAUUAUUACUUCAUUUUUAUCUUCUUUCUCCCCAUAUAUGGUGUAUUAUUAUUAUUAUUAUUAUUAUUAUUCCUUUUCUCCCCAUAAAGGGUGUAUUAUUAUUAUUAUUAUUACUUUAUUUUCAUCCCCUUUCUUCCUAUAUAGGGUGUUUUGUUAUUAUAAUAUUAUUAUUACUUUAUUUGUAUCCCCUGUCUCCUUAUAUAGGAUGUAGUAUUAUUAUUACUUUAUUUUCAUCCCCUUUCUUCCCAUAUAGGGUAUAUUAAUAUUACUUUAUUUUCAUCCCCUUUCUUCCCAUAUAAUAAUAAUAACUUUAUUUUUAUACCCCGUCUCUAUCUCCCCAAAGGGGACUCAGGGCAGCUUACAUGGGGCCAAGCUCGAAUAAAAAUAAUAACAAAUAUAGGGUGUAUUAUUAUUAUAUUAUUAUUACUUUAUUUGUAUUCCCUUUCUCCCCAUAUGGGGUAUAUUAUUAUUAUUACUUUAUUUUCAUCCCCUUUCUUCCCAUAUAUGGUGUAUUUUUGUUGUUAUUAUUAUUAUUAUUUACUUUAAUUUUCUCCGCUUUUAGGGUGUAUUAUUAUUUUAGGAUUAUUAUUAUUAUUAUUAUUAUUUACUUUAUUUUAUCCCCCUUUUCCUCAUAUAGAGUGCCCCUACAUUUAUUAUUAUUAUUAUUAUUAUUAUUAUUAUUUAUUUUGUUUUUAUUCCUCUUUUCCCCAUUUAGCGUGCAUCUACAUUAUUAUUAUUACUGACUUUAUAUUCAUCCUGCCUUUCUCCCCACAUAAGGCACUUCUACAUUUAUUAUUAUUCACUUUAUUUUUAUUCUCUUCUCCCCAUAUAGUGUGCAUCUACAUUUGUUGUUGUUGUUUGUUUUUAUCCACCAUCUCCCCAUUUAGGGUGCACUUACAAUAUUAUUAUUAUUAAUAAUUUUUGCCCGCUUCUCCCUAUAUAGAGUGCAUCUACAUUUAUUAUUAUUACCAUUUGCUUCCCCCCCCCCCCCCCGCUUCUCCCGUUUAGGGUGCACCUACAUUAUUAUUACAGUAGAGUCUCACUUAUCCAAGCUUCGCUUAUCCAAGCUUCUGGAUUAUCCAAGCCAUUUUUGGAGUCAAUGUUUUCAAUAUAUCUUAAUAUUUUGGUGCUAAAUUCGUAAAUACAGUAAUUAUAACAUAACCUUACUGCGUAUUGAACUACUUUUUCUAUCAAAUUUGUUGCAUAACAUGAUGUUUUGGUGCUUAAUUUGUAAAAUCAUAACCUAAUUUGAUGUUUAAUAGGCUUUUCCUUAAUCCCUCUUUAUUAUCCAAGAUAUUCACUUAUCCAAGCUUCUGCUGGCCCAUUUAGCUUGGAUAAGUGAGACUCUACUGUAUUAUUAUUUACUUCAUUUUUAGCCCCCCUUUCCCCAUAUAGGAUGUAUUUACAUUAUUAUUAUUAUUAUUAUUAUUAUUAUUAUUAUUAUUUAGUAUAGGAUACAACUACACUAUCAUUAUUGUGGUUAUUUGCUUUAGUUGUAUUCUACUUUCCUCUUAAUAUAGGGAUGCAAGGCUACUAACAGCAAACAUUACUUGAUGCAAUUAAAAAUGAAGCAGCCUCUGACCUUCACAAACAGGCUAUAGUUCCCAGUGCUAUGGAGCCACCAAGUCACUCCCUCCCUCCCAGGAUAUUGCAGGUUACAGUGAAUACACCCCAGUGUUUCUUUCUCUCUCUAUUUGCAUGACCCCGCACACUGCCUCUCCCAUAACCCUUUCCUACCCUUUCCUACAGCAAACAGAGGAAUUGAUCAGCAACUGAACAUAUAUAGAGAGAGGUUUGGGGAGAAUUCACUAUGAUUUAUAGGAGUUGUAGGGACUGGGAUGUAUAGUUCACCUGCAGUCUAAGAGCCCUCUGAACCCCACCAACAAUGGACCUGGAACUAACUUGCCAUACAGACCCAACAAGGCCAACUUUGCAUACUGACGGGGUUUGGGUGUGAUUGACCUUGACAUCCAGGAAUUAUAGUUCACCCAUAUUCAGAAAACACUGAACCCAUCUGAUGAUGAAUCUGGACCAAACACAAAUUCAACAUGGCCAACUGGGAAUACUGGUGGACUUUGGGGGUGAUUGACCUUUAUCUCUGGGAGUUAUAGUUCACCUGUAUUCUGUGAGGCCUUUGAACCCCACCAGUGAUGAAUCUGGACCAAACUUGCCACACAGACCCAGUGCUGCCAACUUGGGAUGACAAUUAUAGUUCAUCCGUAUUCAGAGAACACUGAAGCCAGCAAGUGAUGGAUCUGGACCAAACUUGGCACACAGACCCAACAUGGCUAACUGUAAAUACUGGCAGGCUUUGUGGGUGAUUGAUCUUGGCAUCAGAGAGUUAUAGUUCACCCAUAUUCAGAGAACACUGAGCCCAGUGGGUGACCAAUCUGCACCAAAUUUGGCACACAGAUCCAACAUGGCCAACUGUGAAUACUGGGGGAGUUUUGGGAGGGUUGACUCAAGAUUUUUGGGAGUUGUAGUACACCAACAUCCUUCUGCAUUUUUUAAUGAGAGCAUUCAUAAAAAAACCCCAAAGACAUGAGAGUUUUUUUUCUAAGAAAUAGUGUAACAUGAUCAAACUGAUACUACCAAACAUCCAGAAACAGACUAUGCCCUUUUCAAAUAACCCAGACAUUGCUGGGUACCCAAGCUAGUAUGAAUAUAAAAAUGAAUAUAAUAUGAAUAGAAAAUAAUAUGAAUAGAAAAACUGAAAAACCUUUAAUUACAGUUUGCAGUUUUUAUUGCAGUUUGACACCACUUUAACCGCCAUGGCUCAAUGCUACAGAAUCCUGGGAGUUGUAGUUUUGCAAAGCCUUAUCAAAGUAUGCCGGUGCCUCACCAAACUAAAAUUCCCAUGAUUUCAUACCAUUGAACUAUGGCGGUUAAAGUGGCAUCAAACUGCAUUCAUUCUAAGGUGUAGAUGCACCCCUAGAUCAAACGAAGAAGUGACGAAAUCAACAAAUAGUUAUCUUUUCUCCCUUUUCAAAUAUUUAUGUUUUAAAAACCUGAUAUUUUUCUAAAAGUUUUCUGAGCGAACUUGGCUCAUCACGUCUGCAGCCAAUCGACAAAGUUGCAAUUGAACAAUCAAGGAGAUGUUCUUAACCCAAGGCUACACAUUUAUUGCUUUUUCUCUUAGCAGAUAGACGUCAAUAUGGGUUUUAUUACAUCCUCUCCAGUCUCUCUUCUCUUUACUCCACGAAAAGGGAGUGAAAUCACCUUGACAGCCAUGUUAUUCUCCUUUCUGCGACUAUCGAUUAUUUCCUGUUUAUUUUCUUGGAUUCACAGUCUGUUACGAACCCUGCUUAUUGAAUCCGUUCCUUGUUUCAGUGGUACAUAAAUUAUAGGAUUUGCUGGGGAGGCACAUUGCAGUGGAUCCUUCCAUCUCAAGUUGAAGUUUAUUCCAGCUAAAGGGAAAUCAAAGGACCAACCUAUUCCAUAAGCAGUGAGUGCAUCUAUACUGAAGAGUGUAUGCAGCUUGACACCACUUGAACUUCCAUGCCUCAAUGCUAUGCAAUUUAUUGGUGUUGUAGUUUGCCAAAGAGUUCUGGUGCCUAAAUAGCUUGUAAAACUGCAACUCCUAGGAUACCAUAGCAUUGCACCAUGGCAGAUGCAUCUACACUAGUCAUAUAAUGCAGUUCACGUGGUGUCAGACUGCAUUCUGUAGUGUAGAUUUACUCCAUUUUACAAUUAUAGUGCUUUGAUACCACUUUUAAACUGCCAUGGAUGCAUGCUCUGAAAUCUUGGAAUUUGUAGUUUCAUCCUGCACUUAGUGGAUCUCAACCUUUGGUUCUCCAUAAGGUUGAGACUUCAACUCCCAGAAUGCCUCACUGUUUCAUAAGAUAUUAGGACGUCUGAGACUAAAGAGUCCAAAUUAUCUGGAAGACCAAACACUAGAUUAGAGCUUGCUGAUGAGGUUUCUAAAUAUCUUGUGAAACUACAAAUCCCAUGCUUUAGCUUUAGUUAUUUAGUAUCUUUCUCCCAACACAGGUUCCAAUGCAACUAGAAUCUGCUUUGAACUAUCAUGGAGCCAUAGCAGUUAAUGUGAAUCAAGGGGUGUAUCAACACUGUGGAAUUAAUGGGGUUUGACUCCACUUAACUGCCAUGGCUCAACAGCAACAAUAACAAUACAGUAAAUUUAUUUGUUACUUGCCAGACACAUAAAAUACAAAAUGACUAGAAUACAUAUAUCAAAAUAUACACAAGAUCAACAACAAAAGAAAUAUAAUUUAGGUUAAAAUUCACAACUUAAAAUCAACUGGGUAAGCCUGCUGUAAGAGAGAGGUUUUCAGUUGCAUCUUGAAUUCUGACAGCUCAUCUGGCUGUCGGAUCUCUUCCAGCGUGUCAUUCCAUAGUCUUGGAACAGCCGAUGAAAAUGCUCUGGAACCAUGGGAUUUAUAGUUUUACAAGGUCUUUAGCUUUCUCUGCCAAAGAAUCCUGGUGCCUCACCAAACAACAAUUCCCAUGUUUCUAUAGUUUUAAGCCAUGGCAGUCAUAGUAGUGUCAAACUGUAUUGUUGCUACUGGAGUUGAAGCUCUAGCAACUCAUUUCUUUAGAUGCCACUCACAAUGCAACAAAUAGAGGCUUUCUGGGAUACAUCUGCACUGAGUAGCUUAUCUGUCAUCUUUUCCCAGACCACACCUUUCUGUCAGGCAGUUUCUUAGACAGAUGCUUGUUGCUGUCAUUAAAAGUUAUUGCAAUUUAGUGUUUAGUGGGGUUUUAAAAGAUUUCUUAAUGGCUUGUUUGUUGGAUGCUUUUGGCAUAUCCCGGACUUUAUUUUGAUCUGCCGCACAGCUGCCGGCUUCGCAAUUUGAGACCGUGGCAUAUGUUCGCUCCACAGGGUGCUGCGGCAGGGAUUUUAAAAAUUGCAUUUGUGUACCAGGUAAGCUGGCACAUUGGCACGGCAAUAUCUUCAGAAGGGAAGAGGGGAAGGUGGAAUAAUAAUGAGAUUUGUUUCCCUUCACAGUUCCGUGGAAGUGUAAAUUUGCAGCUCAAGUGUUGGCAAAGUGAUGGAGGCAAGACAAUUGGAUAAUAUCAAACUGGUUAGGAACUUCGGGAAUUACGGGGGAUUUUUUUUUUAAUUAGUGGGGAAAUAGUUUGAGCAGACAUUUGUUUAUUUUGCAAAGCUCUUCCACAUUCCAAAGGGGAGGGAAACACUUUAAAAUGCUCCCAAAGAGGAGCACAUGUCUGUGUUACAAUUGAAUUUAAAUUGCCAAUACAUUGUCGCUGCACCGAUCCUUAUAUAUCUUGCUAGAAACUAGCUAUUAAGACAUUGGCAAAGAUAUAACACUGUAAGGAUUCAACAAGUGCAGCUCUGCCUCCCAGGAUUCAUAGUUUUGCUUCAAUUUUGCUUCAAUGCUCACCAUUCCAUGGUUGGCAUUUAUUUUUCAUGUCAGGAGCGACUUCAGAAACUGCAAGUCAUUUCUGGUGUGAGAGAAUUGGCUGUCUGUAAGGACGUUGCCCAGGGAACGCCUGGAUGUUUUGCCAUCCUGUGGGAGGCUUCUCCCUUGUCCCCACAUGGGAAGCUGGAGCUGACAAAUAGGAGCUCACCUCGUUCCCCGGAUUCAAACUGCCAACUUGUCAGUCAGCAGUCCUGCUGGCACAAAGGUUUAACCCAUUGCACCCCCGGGGGCUCCUCAUGGUUGGCAUAAGGUGCAUUUACGCUCUAGGAUUAAUGCAGUUUGGCACCACUUUAACUUCUAUGGCCCACUGUUAUAAAAUCCUAGGAGUUGUAGUUUGAUGAAACACCGAUGUUCUUUGGCACAGAAAGCUAAAGGCCUUGCGAAACUACAACUCCCAUAAUUCCAUAGCAUUGGGCCAUCACAAUUAAAGUAGUGUCAAACUUUAGUCAUUCUACAGUGUAAAUGCACACAUAAAGUGCAGGGGAUCACAGAUGCAUCUGGCUGUAGGAGUAUAACUAGAUGCAGCCUGAUGACAUUAAACCCCAAGGUUCUUUGGGGUCUCAGCAGAUGAUGCCAUCAACCUUUCUCUGGCUAUGGGGCACAGCUAGAUGUUCCUCCAAUCACCUGCAUUCUCUCCCAGUCUCUGAUUGGGCUCGAUAGUUCUUGUCUCCUCCUACUCUGUGAUUUUAUGAUCCUGUAGAGUUUAUUACAGGAGCCCCCAGUGGUGCAGUGGGUUAAACCACUGCUGAAGUUGGUGACCAAAAGAUCAGUGGUUCGAAUCUGGUGCUCAGGGCAAGCUCCCGUUGUUAGCUCCAGCUUCUGCCAACCUAGCAGACUUGCAAAUAUGAAUAGAUCAAUAGGUACCGUUUCAGCGGGAAGGUAAUGGCACUCCAUGCAGUCAUACCGGCCACAUGAGCUUGGAGGCAUCUAUGGACAAUGCUGGCUCUUUAGUUUAGAAAUGGAGAUAACCAUCCCCAGAGUCAGACACAACUAGACUUAAUGUCAAGGGGAAACCUUUACCUAGAAUUUAUUACACAAAGCAGACAAGCAAGUAUUUCUGGAACAUCUUUUCACACAAUGUUCUGUGCAUCCUGAUGCCGAUCUGCCUUUCGCACCCAUGAUUCUCCCAUCCUAGGCUUUUAACAGGUACAAUCCAUCAAUAGCCUCCAAUCUCACAUUGUUUCCGUCACCCACUCUGGUACAAUGGGUUCGUUCUACUUUUGUGCCAGCAUUGUAGUAAUGAGGUGAUGUCAGGUGGGAGAAAUGUUUCUCUUCUCACACUCCCCCCUCUCCUUUGCUGUUCCUAAAGUGGUGUUUACUUUACAUUCAUAUUUGUCUUUUUUAUGCUGCUUUUAAUAGCUGGAAUUGCACAAUUGCAUUAAAAAUUAAGAUAAUAAUAAUAAAGGAACUUCAGUAUUCUAAGAAGGCCGGGUUACAAGAUUAUGUGGAAGUAGAAAUGCGAGACCACUGAAUGUAAAUUAGCAGAAUUGUGCUAAUGAAGGCAGGUGUGAUAUUACAGGUGAUCAACAUGGUAUAUAUCCACUACACUACACUAAUGCAACUGAAAUGGAAUAACAAGUUGGUGUGACAAAGUUCUCUGAUAUAGUGGGCUGGUGUGAUAGUCCUAUAUACAGUAGAGUCUCACUUAUCCAACAUAAACGGGCCGGCAGAACGUUGGAUAAGCGAAUAUGUUGGAUAAUAAGGAGAGAUUAAGGAGAAGCCUAUUAAACAUCAAAUUAGGUUAUGAUUUUACAAAUUAAGCACCAAAACAUCAUGUUAUACAACAAAUUUGACAGAAAAAGUAGUUCAAUAUGCUGCAAAGCUAUGUUGUAAUUACUGUAUUUACGAAUUUAGCACCAAAAUAUCACAUUGUAUUGAAAACAUUGACUACAAAAAUGCGUUGGAUAAUCCAGAACACUGGAUAAGCGAAUGUUCGAUAAGUGAGACUCUACUCUAUUUCUAAAGAGGAAAUGUCAAUAUUUCCUCAAAGUUAAAAUUCAAGGUUUCUUAAAGAUGGGGGAGUCUGAAGAACUUACUUUUAGUUCUAUUCUGGAAAACUCGGACAAAGCAAUCUGAUGCAAAAGAGCUGGAUUACGAGGAAUUUGUGACUCCAGAAAAUGGCUUCUUCCCUGAAUCUGAGAGGUUGGUAGCUGAAACAAGAGGCUCUUUCUUUAGCAGGACUUGGUGGAGCCAAAGAAAUACUUUCACCUCCAAAACCUUAUGAUAUGAGAAGUAACAGUGUUGUAGGAAUCAACAUAUAUUAAACAAAAAAUACUGAAUAGUUAACAAUCUGAUAUCAAGAAGCAGCCACCUAGAAAUCUGUCAACUUCAGGGAUAUUUCUUUGCUCAGUUGUUAUGACUGCUAUAGGCUGAGUAUAUCUUAUUCAUCCAAAAUCAGAAAUACCCCAAAAUACAAAACUCCACAUGGAUGUCUGAGAGAGUGGUACCUUUGCUUUCAGUGUAUACAAACUUUCUUUCACGCACAUUAUUAAUAAAUUAUAUAACAGUUUUCUAUCUAUGUGUGUAUAUGAAACAUACAUUAACAUGAAAUUUAUAUUUGGGUUCCAUUGUUAUGUAACUUCAGCUUCUGUAAGAACCACAUGUUCACGGCUCGACGUGGCAAAAUCAGAGGUUUAUUCUCAAUGGCCCGAGAGGAUGUCAGCAAAGAAGGCACUCCAAAGAACUGAUAUCUCAUAAUUGUGAAUGCAGAGCAUAUUUAUUACAUUUGACAGCUAUAUUACAUUUGAUUGACUCAGAAGAUGUCCAGUUAGAAUCCGUUCCCUGAGUGAUCUAGGGCUCCCUCCAACAUCAUCGCUAGUUGGUCUUUGCUGUAGUGGGAAAUUCUAAUAAAACUGUCAUUGAAUUAUUUGAAAAGUCUGCCCAUUUAUUAAUCUGCCCCAGAGAGGCUUACUAUCGAAAUGGAAUGCGAUGCGGCAAUCGAUAAUGGGCUUAAUAUUCUGGCUCCGGUGGAUACAAUGGUGUCAGUCUAGGUAAACAUUGGGUGCUAGAGGGUAGUGGCUUUGACGUUACAAGGAUGACUCUAUCUUGAGGCACAGGAAAGGAAGACGUUCCCAGAUCAUAUUACAUGAAACAAAAAGAACACCGGGCUCUGAUGCAAGCCCUAUUGUGUGUUCCCAUUCCAUUGUGGUAAGAUUAUGUUAUUUUUUAGGAAUUGUCUCCCAGAGUCCAGAGUGUGUUGGGCAACAUUCCAAGGUAAUUAAUGAAGGGUUGCUUGCUAUAUGAUAAAGGCACAUAGGCUCGCUGCAUGUCUCAAUGGAGCCGCGUCUCAUAAUUCAUAUAACUUCCUAAUUUGGGAUCUAAUUUUUCAAUAACACUACCUCUAUGAUAUCUAAUUAUGUAUGUAGGCAAAUACAGGUAUUCCAAAUCAAAAAUUAAAAAUACUUCUGCUCCCAAACAUUUCAGAAAAGAGAUAUGCAACCUGUAACACUUUCUGUACUCAUGUAUUUAUUGGGAUUCUUGGCCUCUGGACGGGCUAAAUUUAAUGUCAUCUUGUCUUCCUCUUUCAACUUUAUGUACUGAAGAGCUCUGGCCUUCUGGGUGUUUGGGACUUCAGCUCCCAGAAUUCUUUAUUAUUGGCCAAGGCUUCUGGGAUUUGAAGUUCAAAAUAUCAAGUCCUAGGCAUUGGGAACAACUGCUAGGGUAAUUCUCUGAGCACUUGUUUCUUAUAGUCCUAAGAGACUAUAGCCUCAGUGCAGUGGCUCCUCUCAACAAGAGUAAUCCAUUAAUUUAACAAGAUUUAUAUAAGGGUUGAUUUAUGUAACCAUUGAUUCAGUGAUAUUUUCCAGUUGCGACUGGCAGUCAUCUUUCGGCUUUGAAGCUUUGUCAUGCAUGUACAUCUGUAAUUCUUUAACUGAAUCAGACAAAUUUUUGAUGGCAGUAUAGAGAUUUAUUGAGUUAAUGUUCAUUCUUCCAGUCAAAUAAGCCAAAGAAAUAAAAAAUAAUUCUGUAAACAAAGAAGAAAUGAGAAAUAAUUCUGUAAACAAAGAAAACAUAGCUAUCGCCAUCCUUCCUAAAUGAGAGGCCUCUUCCAUUUGAGACUUGAUGGGAUGUGAAGGAAGAGAAGAUAUGAAAACAAUCACAAAUGCUGAGACUGAGAGGCAUAGCCAAGAUAAACACAGAGAUGUUUCUACAGAGAAUGAGAAAUAUCUAUCUGGAAAGCUGGAGAGUAAUAAUGGUGAAAACAGAGAUGAGCCCACGAUCCUUUAUAUCAUGCAACUCAUUGUGGGGAGAAAGCAAGCAUAACACAUUUUUGGCAAGAAUGGUGUGGUUGGUCUAGCAGGCAGGAAUCUUAACAGGUGAAGAAGCAUCCUUGUUUAAGAGUCAGUUAAAAUCAGCCUGUUAUUUAACAAAAAGGUGUGUGGGUAUAUGUCAAUCUGUCUGUCUGUCUGUCUAUUUUAUCAUUAUAGUUUUUUGUAUGUGAUUUUAUGAUUUGUUUUUAUUGUUGUUGUUGAUUCAUUUGUUUUAUUGCUUUGUUUUUUUAUAUUGUUGAUGUUCGGGCUUGGCCCUAUGUAAGCCGCCCCGAGACCCUUCGGGGAGAUGGGGCGGGGUAUAAAAAUAAAAUUAUUAUUAUUAAAUUAUUAUCUAUCUAUCUAUCUAUCUACAGUCAGUCCAAUGUAUCCACAGGUUCUGCAUCCAUGGAUUCAACCAACCACAGCACAAAAAUAUUCGAGGAGCAUCCAUGGAUUUUGGUAUCCAUGGAAGAAUGCAACAUGAGCAUCCAUGGCCGUGAGCAUCCAUGGAUUUUGGAAUCCAUGGGGAUCCUGGAACCAAACCCUGUCAGAUACUGAGAGACCACAUUUAUAUAAACACUAGCUGUGCCCAGCCACGUGUUGCUGUGGCAAAGUGGUGGUGGUAUUGGUUAAAAAUUGUUGUGUAAUUUUUAUUUGACGUUAUUUGUAUUUUUAAAUUAAUUUUAUUGUAAGUUAUCUUUUUAUUUAUUAUAUUUUAUUAUUUUCUUGUAUUAUUUUAGUUAUUUUCUGUUAUUAUAGUAUUUUAUUGUAUUAAUUUUUUUAGUGUUUUUAAUUAUUUUUUUGUGUUUUUUAUUAUUUUUUUAUUGGGUUGUUAGGAGACCAAGUUGGAGGAGCUUAGCCUUCUAACUGGCAGCAAUUGGAUAAAAGCAAUUAUUGCUCUCCCUCUAAUUAGGACUUUAUUUUUCUUUUCUUUUUGUUGUAUCAACCUUGAGGCGUGGAUGAUGGGUUGUGUUGUCAAAUUUCGAGGUUGGGGGGCCUGUAGUUUUGUUGUUUUGUGGGUCGCCAUGAUGCCAUCACUCUUUUAUAUAUAUAGAUUGCUGCUUCCCAUUCAAUCCAAAGUCACAAAGGUCAGAAAGAACUGGCUAACAAACGGGACCAAUUGGGGCAUGAGGAAGAUGAUGUUCCCAGCUCUACAGGGAACAAGGCUGCAAUAUUCAAAAGUAGCACACUGUCAUAAUUUCUCAUAGUUGCUUCACAUGUUGGCAGAAGUGGUCUGGAAAUGUUAUCCUUGCUGUCAGUGUCUAAGACUGUUGCCAUCAUGUCAUCAUGGAGGAGUCGCAGGAUGUUCACAAUUUUGUCAGGGCAUCCGAUUUUUUGAAAGAUGAUCCGGAGAGCACUGCGACUUACUGUAUUGACUGCAAGAUCAAUGAAUGCCAUGUACAGAGUUUGAUUUUGUUCCCUGCAUUUUUCUUGGAGCUGACGUGAAGAUCAUGUCCACUGUUCUUCUAGAGGGGCAGAAGCCGUUCUGGGAUUCUGGGAGAGUGUCUUCUGAAACAGGGAGAAGGCUGUUUGCCAGGAUUCUUGUAAGAAUUUUCCCAGUGGAGGUUAGAAGGGAGAUUCCAUUGUUCAUUCCUCCUUUUUGAAAAGGGUAGUAGUAACAAUUGUGUCCUUGAAAUCUGCUGGAAUCUUCUUGGUCACCCACACUUUUUCAAUAAGCUAGUGUUGUUUGAACUCAGGUCUACCCGCUUUCAAGAUUUCAACAGGGAUGCCAUCAUAGUCCAAUGCUCAGAAACCACUAUACCCUUAAUUUACGUAACUUAACACAGCACUAGAGACCACUUUUUCAGGCAGGCCUAUCUAGUUGAUUUUUUAAUUUGUUGUUCUUAAAUUAUGAAUUUUAGAUGACACACUGGUUAUUUUAAUAAUAUGUAUUGACUGUAUGUGUUCUUUUAAACUGAUGCCUUAACUGGGUUAUAUGUUAUGUAUUUUUAAUUGAUUGGAUAUUGUGUUUUAAUAUUGUUGAUCCCUGGCUUGAUCCAUUGGGAGAGAUGGAAAUAGAAACAACAACAACGGUACCAACAUUGGCAUUAUCACCACACUGGCUCUCUGCCAUGGUUGCUGGCCAAUAUGGUUUUGGGUUGGCAUUUACAAUCAUGGCACUAUGAUAGAGUAUUAGUAAAUAUGGAGCUGUUACGGAUCUGUAACUCUAGGUUAUAAAUCCAUAACUGCAAUACAGGGUAUCAGUCUAAAUAAAUAAAUAGUUGCUUGUCCAAGAACUAUUUUCCCCUCCAGAUGUCAUUUUUUUAAAUAUUCUACCUAGCACAACCACAAAUUCUGAAAAUGUUGUAUCCAUUUCUGUAUAUACAUAUGCAGAUACACAUCUCUGCAAAGCAUUGGAAGGCAGCCAAUGUAAAGGGCAGAAUCCUUGGAUGCAGUCCAACGUCUGAAGUAAUCAAAUAUUGCCCAAAUUGCAGAAUUACUCACCUUUGAAAGUUGUUUGCUCCACAAUUAAAGUAGCCCUUCCUUGUCAAGUCAGCUUGUUGUACAUGGAGUGAUUUCUGUCUGUCUUACAUAAUUAGCCAAGUGAACCAGCUAAUGUAACAUUAACGGUGAACUCAGCUAUGGCAUUGCCAGCAAACCAACGCAAUUAACAUUUAAUGGUGUCUUUCUUUCUUCUGCACUCUAGGCUAUUUGCCUUGAAUACCUUUUCAAAGUGGGAUUUCAUGAUUGCCCAGGAUCUUUUCCGUCAGUCAUGGGACAUAUAUUUAAAGGAGAUACCCAAGUGUCGAAAUCAGUUGGACAGACAGACUUGGCAUGCAUCUCUACACAAUAGAAUUAAUGCAACUUUAUUCCACUUUAGCUGUCAUGGCUCUGUGCUAUGGAAUCCUGGGAGUUGUAGGUUGGAUAGACACUCUUUAUUUCAAGAAAAGACUAAAUAGUUUGUAAAACUACAGCUCCCAGGAUUUCAUAGCAUUGCUCCAUAGCAGUUAGACUUCAUUCAUUCUACAACAUUGGAGCACCCUUCGAUCUUCCUAUAGUAUUAGUAGUGAUGAUGAUGAUGAUGAUGAUGAUGAUGAUGAUGAGGAUUUAUAACCCUCCCUAUCUUCAGGGUGGCUUCCAGCAAAACAAAACACAGUGGCAAACAUCCAGUGCCAAGAAUCUAUAUAUAUAAAAGAGUGAUGGCAUCACGGCGACCCACAAAACAACAAAACUACAGACCCCCCAACCUCGAAAUUUGACAACACAACCCAUCAUCCAUGGCUCUAGGUUGAUACAACAAAAAGAAAAGAAAAAUAAAGUCCUAAUUAGAGAGAGAGGAAUAAUUGCUUUUAUCCAAUUGCAGCCAGUUAGAAGGCUAAGCUCCUCCAACUUGGUCUCCUAACAACCCAAUAAAAAAUAAUUAAGAACACUACAAAAUAAUUUAAAACACUAAAAAAUUAAUACAAUAAAAUACUAUAACAGAAAAUAACUAAAAAUAAUACAAGAAAAUAAUAAAAUAUAAUAAAAAGAUAACUUACAAUAAAAUUUAUGAAAAAAUACAAAUAACGUCAAAUAAAAAUUACACAAUUUUUAACCAAUACCACCACCACUUUGCCACAGCAACACGUGGCCGGGCACAGCUAGUAACAUAUAACAAAUCAAAAACAGCUUGCAACUAUUGGGGUAGUGCAAUGAAUAUGCUGUUUCUUAACAUGCAGUGUGUCCUAAUGUGUUCUAAAUUAAUGUUUAUAGGUCAACUAACUGAUGUUUAAUGCUUUUUUUUUAAAAAAAAAGUUCCAUUACAGAUUAUUUUGCUAUUUUCCUUUAGUGCAUUAAGCAAGCCAAAUCGACUACCACAUGGGAGAAAAGUAGGAUAUUACAUCCAUAAACAAAUAAAGACAUAGGGAUCAGCACAUUCAAACAUUCCUUUAAAUUUCAAGCUAAAACACAAAGCUGACUCGGUGCCCUUUUGUUUCUCUGAGGCAAGGGGUUGGAAUGUGACUCAAGGCAUCUUAUCACAAAUAAAAGAAAUAGAGCUAAAAUAACCCAAUACAAACAUUUAAAAUAUAAUUACACUACACAUAGGUUAAAACCAGCCAAAAGCAUAGCUAUUAAAAUAAACAAUAAACAAAGCACCAAUAGUCAUACAUAAGUAGCCACUCAUUUUUCCGAUUCCUUUCAGUGAGAAUUGCACAACUGUCAAGUGAUUUCAGCUCUGCUACAUUGCAGGUUCGGGUCCGGCAUGUCAAGGUCGAAUGAAACACAGACUGGUGGAAGGCAAAAGCAGAGGAGGACUCAGGGCGGAUUACAGAACACAUAUAUGGUACGCAUUCAAUGCUGUUAUACAGUCAACAAGGACAGACAAUGCACAGAGAGAAGUAAAGGCAUUUCCCAUCUUAUUUCCGGCAUCUUGGAGGCUGUGCUCAACCUCAGCCAUGGGGGGGGGGGGGGUGUUGCUCCAUUUUUCAUGCUGAGGAGCUUUCUCAUCCUUAGACAUCCUCCUAAUUGAUGUCCUUAAGGGCAUCUUUAUUACCUCCCUGCUAAAAGCGGUACCUAUUUAUCUACCCACAUUUCUGCUUUCUAUCUGCUAAGCAGGCAGGGCUAACAGCGGGUUUUCACCCCAACCUGGGCUCGAACUGCCAACCUUUCAAUCAGUAGGAUUUUUCUGUGCCAAGCCCCGGCCCCUAGCUGAGCUAUUCAAGAUACCCGUGCUUGCUCCUGAUUGCCUCACAAAGUGUCCAGCUAGGAUCUGUGUCCUGAUUGGCUCAGGGCUCUGUGUGACAUCAUCCCUGGUUGCCUCUCCCUUGGUAAUGUGAAAGUUAAUGAAAUGUUAUUGGAGCAUUUGAAGUGUUAGCCCAUUCAUCAAUUUGCUUUUGAGAGGAGCUGUGGUGUAUAAAUGGGCAAUGGGCUCAUGAUGAGAUUAAUGGUUGGACUCUGGUGGAAACAAUAGAAGUAGUCCAAAGUAAUAAUAGGUGCUUGAAGGUGAUGGCCAUCUCAGUGGGUGAUGCAAGGGUGAGGCUGGAGGACGGCAAGGGAGAAGAGUCAUUCUCACAGAUAGUGUUAGGGAUUCCUCUUCUUUAGAAGAGGAAGGGGAGCAGGAAAGUGUUCAUGAAUCAGAGGAGCAGCUGGAAUCUGAGGAGGAGAUUUUUCAAGUACCCACAUUUCAGGAGAGGCGAAAGGAAGCAGAACAGAGACAUCAUUCAGCUAGAAUAGCUGCCAGAAAUGCAGCUAAUUAGGAACUGUCCGAGCAGCUGUGAGGGGACUCAGGGCUAUAAAGCAAAAGCAGAUGCAGCCAGCUCUUGCUGGUAACAAACUGACUCUUCGCUCCCCUUGUGCCUGCUUCAAGUCUGCAUCUGGGAAACUGCUCCUAAAUAUUUGUUGCUUUUUUGGUCUGAAGUAAGACUGCUAUUUGAUUUGGGAAUUUACCAGAGACUGUGCUUGCCCUAAGACUUCCUUGCUUCCUUUUGCAUUAUUACACUGAGUGUGCUGUACUUUACGUUUUGCUGAAGUAAAGCUGUUUUCAUGUACUUACCACCA
Anolis carolinensis (green anole) is the source of this 15670-nucleotide long non-coding RNA. RefSeq lists it as uncharacterized. NCBI's taxonomy places the organism in Eukaryota, Metazoa, Chordata, Lepidosauria, Squamata, Anolidae. The transcript has 2 exons. The record is from RefSeq and is a predicted model, not a curated record.